Molecule: ribosomal RNA, 785 nt
Filed under: uncultured marine bacterium
Lineage: Bacteria
Description: bacterial SSU rRNA
Rfam family: Bacterial small subunit ribosomal RNA
Source: RNAcentral
UGAUCCUGGCUCAGGAUGAACGCUAGCGGCAGGCCUAAUACAUGCAAGUCGAACGGUAACAUUGGUGCUUGCACCAGAUGACGAGUGGCGCACGGGUGCGUAACGCGUAUGCAACCUACCUUUUACUAGAGUAUAGCCCAGAGAAAUUUGGAUUAAUCCUCUAUAACAUCUUUUAAUUUCAUGAUUUUAAGAUUAAAGUUUUAACGGUAAAAGAUGGGCAUGCGUCCUAUUAGUUUGUAGGUGAGGUAACGGCUCACCUAGACUACGAUAGGUAGGGGCCCUGAGAGGGGGAUCCCCCACACUGGUACUGAGACACGGACCAGACUCCUACGGGAGGCAGCAGUAAGGAAUAUUGGACAAUGGACGAAAGUCUGAUCCAGCCAUGCCGCGUGCAGGAUGACAGCCCUACGGGUUGUAAACUGCUUUUAUACAGGAAGAAACACUCCGACGUGUCGGAGCUUGACGGUACUGUAAGAAUAAGGAUCGGCUAACUCCGUGCCAGCAGCCGCGGUAAUACGGAGGAUCCAAGCGUUAUCCGGAAUCAUUGGGUUUAAAGGGUCCGCAGGCUGUUUUUUAAGUCAGAGGUGAAAUCCUGCAGCUCAACUGUAGAACUGCCUUUGAUACUGGAAAACUUGAGUUAUUGUGAAGUGGUUAGAAUGUGUGGUGUAGCGGUGAAAUGCAUAGAUAUCACACAGAAUACCGAUUGCGAAGGCAGAUCACUAACAAUAUACUGACGCUCAUGGACGAAAGCGUGGGGAGCGAACAGGAUUAGAUACCCUGGUAGU